This 238-nucleotide unclassified non-coding RNA is filed under the name Hevea brasiliensis (rubber tree). Lineage: Eukaryota; Viridiplantae; Streptophyta; Magnoliopsida; Malpighiales; Euphorbiaceae. The record is from RNAcentral.
UUAGAGGAGAAAAUCUCGAAGAAACAAGGCCGCCUAGCAUUAACCAUCUCCGCUUGAUUCUCUUUCGCCAUGAAAACAAGUCACAGGCGUUUUACCCCAAACAGCAAAAUCUGACAACUUUCUGGCCACGAGAUAACAUGGGAAAAUAAGAAUUGAAGAAAGAAACAGGAAAAUCGAAGGGAAUUUUAGACUUUGAUUUUAAAGGAGUGAGAGUAAUGGGUAGUUUCAUGCAGUAUGG